GGGGAAUAUUGCGCAAUGGGGGGAACCCUGACGCAGCCAUGCCGCGUGAAUGAAGAAGGCCUUCGGGUUGUAAAGUUCUUUCGGUAUUGAGGAAGGUUGAUGUGUUAAUAGCACAUCAAAUUGACGUUAAAUACAGAAGAAGCACCGGCUAACUCCGUGCCAGCAGCCGCGGUAAUACGGAGGGUGCGAGCAUUAAUCGGAAUAACUGGGCGUAAAGGGCACGCAGGCGGUUAUUUAAGUGAGGUGUGAAAGCCCUGGGCUUAACCUAGGAAUUGCAUUUCAGACUGGGUAACUAGAGUACUUUAGGGAGGGGUAGAAUUCCACGUGUAGCGGUGAAAUGCGUAGAGAUGUGGAGGAAUACCGAAGGCGAAGGCAGCCCCUUGGGAAUGUACUGACGCUCAUGUGCGAAAGCGUGGGGAGCAAACAGGAUUAGAUACCCUGGUAGUCCACGCUGUAAACGCUGUCGAUUUGGGGGUUGGGGUUUAACUCUGGCGCCCGUAGCUAACGUGAUAAAUCGACCGCCUGGGGAGUACGGCCGCAAGGUUA
Molecule: ribosomal RNA, 546 nt
Filed under: uncultured bacterium
Lineage: Bacteria
Description: bacterial SSU rRNA
Rfam family: Bacterial small subunit ribosomal RNA
Source: RNAcentral